This 477-nucleotide unclassified non-coding RNA is filed under the name uncultured Glomus. RNAcentral describes it as "SSU rRNA". It matches the Rfam family "Eukaryotic small subunit ribosomal RNA", at positions 569 to 1051 of the family's 1831-position model. The record is from RNAcentral. Lineage: Eukaryota; Fungi; Glomeromycota; Glomeromycetes; Glomerales; Glomeraceae.
AGCAGCCGCGGUAAUUCCAGCUCCAAUAGCGUAUAUUAAAGUUGAUGCAGUUAAAAAGCUCGUAGUUGAAUUUCGGGGUCAGUAGGUUGGUCGUGCCACUGGUAUGCACUGGUCUCACUGAUUCCUCCUUCCUGAUGAACCGUAAUGCCAUUAAUUUGGUGUUGCGGGGAAUCUGGACUGUUACUUUGAAAAAUUAGAGUGUUUAAAGCAGGCUCGCGCUUGAAUACAUUAGCAUGGAAUAAUGAAAUAGGACGUUUGACCCUAUUUUGUUGGUUUCUAGGAUCGACGUAAUGAUUAAUAGGGAUAGUUGGGGGCAUUAGUAUUCAAUUGUCAGAGGUGAAAUUCUUGGAUUUAUUGAAGACUAACUACUGCGAAAGCAUUUGCCAAGGAUGUUUUCAUUAAUCAAGAACGAAAGUUAGGGGAUCGAAGACGAUCAGAUACCGUCGUAGUCUUAACCAUAAACUAUNCCGACUAGGG